UUUAUCAGUGGGGAUCCGUUUAUUUCAGGAUUCCCCGGGCCGAGAUAUUUAUCAGUGGGGAUCCGUUUAUUUCAGGAUUCCCCGGGCCGAUUCAGAUGGUAAUGGUGUGUCCGCUCAGAGACCAGUGAUGAUGAUGAUGUAUCUGUCUUCCGUUUAUUUCGGAACCCGUGGGUCAGAUUGGUUACAUUUCUCCUCAGAUGGUAAUGAUCAGUCCAGAGGCCAGAUUCAGUACAGAGG
This 237-nucleotide long non-coding RNA is filed under the name Lathyrus oleraceus (garden pea). Its description in RNAcentral is "Pisum sativum (pea) long non-coding RNA (PSAT_LNC025850)". The record is from RNAcentral. Lineage: Eukaryota; Viridiplantae; Streptophyta; Magnoliopsida; Fabales; Fabaceae.